RNAcentral lists this ribosomal RNA (230 nucleotides) under uncultured bacterium. RNAcentral describes it as "partial 16S ribosomal RNA". It matches the Rfam family "Bacterial small subunit ribosomal RNA", at positions 562 to 791 of the family's 1533-position model. The record is from RNAcentral.
AAAGGGUGCGUAGGCGGGCAAUUAAGUCAGGGGUGAAAUCCCGAGGCUCAACCUCGGAACUGCCCUUGAUACUGGUUGUCUUGAGUCCGGAAGAGGUGAGUGGAACUGCGAGUGUAGAGGUGAAAUUCGUAGAUAUUCGCAAGAACACCGGUGGCGAAGGCGGCUCACUGGUCCGGAACUGACGCUGAGGCACGACAGCGUGGGGAGCAAACAGGAUUAGAUACCCUUGU